GAUGAACGCUGGCGGCGUGCCUCAAACAUGCAAGUCGAGCGGGGCUAUGUAAUAUCGCAAGGUAGAACAUAGCCUAGCGGCGAACGGGUGAGUAACACGUGGGUAACCUGCCUGGAAGACAGGGAUAACGAUUCGAAAGGGUCGCUAAUACCUGAUAAUAUCCUUUCAUCGCAUGGUGAUAGGAAGAAAGGGGAAACCCGCUUUCAGAUGGGCCCGCGUCCCAUCAGCUAGUUGGUAAGGUAAAGGCUUACCAAGGCGACGACGGGUAGCCGGUCUGAGAGGAUGUACGGCCACACUGGGACUGAGAUACGGCCCAGACUCCUACGGGAGGCAGCAGUUGGGAAUCUUAGGCAAUGGACGAAAGUCUGACCUAGCGACGCCGCGUGAGGGAAGAAGGCCUUCGGGUUGUAAACCUCUGUCAUGGGGAAGAAGUAAGUGACGGUACCCCAAGAGGAAGCCCCUGCUAACUACGUGCCAGCAGCCGCGGUAAAGUCGACGUCG
This 501-nucleotide ribosomal RNA is filed under the name uncultured bacterium. Its description in RNAcentral is "bacterial SSU rRNA". It matches the Rfam family "Bacterial small subunit ribosomal RNA", at positions 28 to 533 of the family's 1533-position model. The record is from RNAcentral.